Molecule: ribosomal RNA, 617 nt
Filed under: Anomala luculenta
Lineage: Eukaryota; Metazoa; Arthropoda; Insecta; Coleoptera; Scarabaeidae
Description: partial 16S ribosomal RNA
Rfam family: Bacterial large subunit ribosomal RNA
Source: RNAcentral
UUUAAAGUCUAACCUGCCCAAUGAGGAUUUGAAUGGCCGCGGUAAUUUGACCGUGCAAAGGUAGCAUAAUCAUUAGUUUUUUAAUUGAAAGCUGGUAUGAACGGUUGGACGAGAAAAUAACUGUCUCAAUUUAAUUGUAUGUAGAAUUUUAUUUAUAAGUAAAAAAGCUUAUAUAAUUUUAAAAGACGAGAAGACCCUAUAGAGUUUUAUAAUUUUUUAUAUUAAUUAGGUUUAGUAUGUUUAUAUUUUUGAUAUAAAAAAUUAUUUUGCUGGGGCAGCAGAAAAAUUUAUUAAACUUUUUUUAAUUGUUUAACAUUGAUUUAUGAUUUAAUGAUCCAUUUUUUAUGAUUACAAGAUUAAAUUACCUUAGGGAUAACAGCGUAAUUUUUUUUUAGAGUUCUUAUCGAAAAAAGAGUUUGCGACCUCGAUGUUGGAUUAAAAUUAACUUUUGGUGCAGGGGCUAAAAGGUUAGGUCUGUUCGACCUUUAAAAUUUUACAUGAUCUGAGUUUAAACCGGCGUGAGCCAGGUUGGUUUCUAUCUUUAAAUAACUUGGAUACCUUAGUACGAAAGGAUUAGGUAUUUUUAAAAUUUAAUAUAUUUUGAAUGGGAAUAAUUA